AUACGGAGGGGGCUAGCGUUGUUCGGAAUUACUGGGCGUAAAGCGCGCGUAGGCGGCUAAGUAAGUCGGAUGUGAAAGCCCUGGGCUUAACCUGGGAAUUGCAUUCGAUACUGCUUGGCUAGAGUAUGAUAGAGGAUAGUGGAAUUCCUGGUGUAGCGGUGAAAUGCGUAGAUAUCAGGAGGAACAUCAGUGGCGAAGGCGGCUAUCUGGCUCGGUACUGACGCUGAGGCGCGAAAGCGUGGGGAGCAAACAGGAGUAGAAACCCCAGUAGUCC
RNAcentral lists this ribosomal RNA (274 nucleotides) under uncultured bacterium. Its description in RNAcentral is "partial 16S ribosomal RNA". It matches the Rfam family "Bacterial small subunit ribosomal RNA", at positions 523 to 796 of the family's 1533-position model. The record is from RNAcentral.